UUGCACUAUUCUUGCAGCUUUUCUGUAAGCUUAAAAUUACAUAAUUGGAUUCAUGUGGACAUAAAGAUGGGACCAAUAGACACUGGAGACUCCAAAAGGAGGAAAGGCGAGCAAGGCUGAAAACCUUCCUAUUGGGGACUAUGUUCACUAUCUGGGUAAUGGGACCAAUAGAAAGAAGCCCAAACCCCAGCCCCAUAUGACAUACUCUUGUAACAAAUCUA
RNAcentral lists this long non-coding RNA (221 nucleotides) under Homo sapiens (human). RNAcentral describes it as "non-protein coding lnc-METTL8-2:2". The record is from RNAcentral. Lineage: Eukaryota; Metazoa; Chordata; Mammalia; Primates; Hominidae.